RNAcentral lists this non-coding RNA (162 nucleotides) under Rheinheimera sp. The record is from RNAcentral. Lineage: Bacteria; Pseudomonadati; Pseudomonadota; Gammaproteobacteria; Chromatiales; Chromatiaceae.
UGCGCUGGUUUUGUUUAAGGUGUUCUGCAAAAGCUAUUGGCUAAUGCAAUGAACCGAAGAGGGAAACAGGUGUAAAUCCUGUACUGUACCCGCAACUGUAAACCACUCUGACCUGUUCAGGGUUCGGUAAGUCAGAUGUCCUGCCUUAACAAACCUCAGGCG